ACGCUCGACACCUACGGGAGCAGCAGUGGGGAAUAUUGCACAAUGGGGGAAACCCUGAUGCAGCGACGCCGCGUGAAGGAAGAAGUAUCUCGGUAUGUAAACUUCUAUCAGCAGGGAAGAAAAUGACGGUACCUGACUAAGAAGCCCCGGCUAACUACGUGCUAGCAGCCGCGGUAAUCUGAGCGGGCUGGCAAGGC
RNAcentral lists this ribosomal RNA (197 nucleotides) under uncultured bacterium. RNAcentral describes it as "partial 16S ribosomal RNA". It matches the Rfam family "Bacterial small subunit ribosomal RNA", at positions 328 to 539 of the family's 1533-position model. The record is from RNAcentral.